GGUGCUUCACUCUUAUUCUUGCAAUGUCCAUUUCUGCAUGUGAUGUGAAUAGGAAGAGAGACAGGGGAGUGAGAAGCCAGACAGGCAAAAGCAGAUUAAAAUAAACAAAGAGGUUGCCUUAGAGGGUCCACAGUGCCAAGUGAGAAAGAGGAAUUUUUCAGGAAAUAAAUUAUUUAGUGGACAUAAGUGAAACAGGAAGAAAAAAACUAAAAAGGGAGAAUCAAUGUACACACUCCAUGUAACAGACUUGUGUUUUAAUAUAUACUUUAGAUUUUUCUGUCACAUUUGGACCUUCUAUGAAGCCCUUCUCCUUAAAGAAACAUUAUUCUUCAAGUCUGUCUCCUUAUGUUUUCACACUAAAGCUUGUGAGAAGUCUCAGCAUACAGGUGAGAGACACAAAGAUCAGCUGAGAGCUUUUCUUCCUUCUGAGGGAUUAGAAGUAUGAAGAGAAGCUCCUGAUAUCCUGUGAGAGCAACCAGCGGAGGAAAAGUAAACCAGAGGGAGACCUCAAAAGCAAUAGCGGGAAGAGAAAAUGGCUUUGUCUGAGCCCAGCAGCAGAGUUGGCAGCACAGAUGUUUUGUGAGACAGUCCACAAAUAUCAAAAUGACAAAGACUAUUUCAGACCAUCAGAUACGAGUGAUUCUUCUAGAGAAGAAGUAACAGGAAUCUU
Columba livia (rock pigeon) is the source of this 670-nucleotide long non-coding RNA. RefSeq lists it as uncharacterized. The record is from RefSeq and is a predicted model, not a curated record. The transcript is spliced from 3 exons. NCBI's taxonomy places the organism in Eukaryota, Metazoa, Chordata, Aves, Columbiformes, Columbidae.